GGAGAAGUACUCAAGAGGCUGAAGAGGUGCCCCUGCUAAGGGCAUAGAUCGGGUUUAACCGGUGCGAGGGUUCAAAUCCCUCCUUCUCCGCCA
RNAcentral lists this transfer RNA (93 nucleotides) under Candidatus Epulonipiscium sp. RNAcentral's name for it is "tRNA-Ser". It matches the Rfam family "tRNA". Rfam says of the family: Transfer RNA (tRNA) molecules are approximately 80 nucleotides in length. The record is from RNAcentral. Lineage: Bacteria; Bacillati; Bacillota; Clostridia; Lachnospirales; Lachnospiraceae.